RNAcentral lists this ribosomal RNA (497 nucleotides) under uncultured bacterium. RNAcentral's name for it is "partial 16S ribosomal RNA". It matches the Rfam family "Bacterial small subunit ribosomal RNA", at positions 28 to 507 of the family's 1533-position model. The record is from RNAcentral.
GAUGAACGCUGGCGGCGUGCCUAAUACAUGCAAGUCGAGCGCACGGACGAGAAGCUUGCUUCUCUGAGAUUAGCGGCGGACGGGUGAGUAACACGUGGAUAACCUACCUAUAAGACUGGGAUAACUUCGGGAAACCAGAGCUAAUACCGCAUGAUAUUGUGAACCGCAUGGUUCAUAAGUGAAAGACGCUAUUGCUGUCACAUAUGGAUGGAUCCCGUCGGCAUUAGCUAGUUGGUAAGGUAACGGCUAACCAAGCCAACGUUGCAUAGCGGCCCGGAGAGGGGGUCCGGCCAAACGGGAACUGAGAACCGGCCCAGACUCCUACGGGAGGAAGCAGUAGGGAAUCUUGCGCAAUGGGCGAAAGCCGGACGGAGCAAGGCCGCGUGAGUGAUGAAGGUCUCCGGAUCGUAAACUUCUUUUAUUAGGAAAGAACAGUUGUGUAAGUAACUGUGCACACCUUGACGGUACCUAAUCAGAAAGCCACGGCUAACUACGUG